CAUGCAAGUCGAACGCUCUUUUUAAGAGAGUGGCGGACGGGUGAGUAACGCGUGGGAACAUGCCCUGUAGUGGGGAAUAACAGUUGGAAACGACUGCUAAUACCGCAUACGCCCUUUGGGGGAAAGAUUUAUCGCUAUAGGAUUGGCCCGCGUCGGAUUAGUUUGUUGGUGUGGUAAAAGCGCACCAAGGCAAUGAUCCGUAGCUGGUUUGAGAGGACGAUCAGCCACACUGGGACUGAGACACUGCCCAGACUCCUACGGGAGGCUGCAGUCAGGAAUCUUGCACAAUGGGGGAAACCCUGAUCCAGCCAUGCCGCGUGAGUGAAGAAGGCCUUCGGGUUGUAAAGCUCUUUCAUAUGUGAAGAUGAUGACGGUAGCAUCAGAAGAAGCACCGGCUAACUUCGUGCCAGCAGCCGCGGUGAUACGAAGGGUGCAAGCGUUGUUCGGAAUUACUGGGCUUAAAGCGCAUGUAGGCGGUUUGUCAAGUCAGAGGUGAAAGCCUGGAGCUUAACUUCAGAAUUGCCUUUGAAACUGAUAAACUAGAGUUAGGUAGAGAGUAGCGGAAUUCUCGGUGUAGGGGUGAAAUCCGUAGAUAUCGAGAGGAACACCAGUUGCGAAAGCGGCUACUUGGACCUUUUCUGACGCUGAGAUGCGAAAGCGUGGGUAGCAAACAGGAUUAGAUACCCUGGUAGUCCACGCCGUAAACGAUGAGUGCUAGAUGUUGGGAAGUUUCUUUUCAGUGUCACAGCAAAAGCGUUAAGCACUCCGCCUGGGGACUACGGCCGCAAGGUUAAAACUUAAAGGAAUUGACGGGGACCCGCACAAGCGGUGGAGCAUGUUGUUUAAUUCGAUGAUACGCGAAGAACCUUACCCUCUCUUGACAUCCUGGUCGCGAUUUUGAGAGAUCAUUAUUUUCAGUUCGGCUGGACCAGUGACAGAUGCUGCAUGGUUGUCGUCAGCUCGUGUCGUGAGAUGUUGGGUUAAGUCCCGCAACGAGCGCAACCCUCACUGUUAGUUGCCAACAGGUUAUGCUGGGAACUCUAACAGAACUGCCGGUGAUAAGCCGGAGGAAGGUGGGGAUGACGUCAAAUCAUCAUGGUUCUUACGGGAGGGGCUACAAACGUGCUACAAUGGCAGGUACAGAAAGUUUUGCAAGCUUGCAAAAGUUAGCUAAUCUUUUAAACUCUGUCUAAGUUCAGAUUGUCCUCUGCAACUCGGGGGCAUGAAGUUGAAAUCGCUAGUAAUCGCAGAUCAGAAUGCUGCGGUGAAUACGUUCUCGGGUCUUGUACACACCGCCCGUCAUCUCAUGGAAGCUGAUCUUACCCAAAGCCGGUG
RNAcentral lists this ribosomal RNA (1335 nucleotides) under uncultured organism. RNAcentral's name for it is "bacterial SSU rRNA". It matches the Rfam family "Bacterial small subunit ribosomal RNA", at positions 54 to 1432 of the family's 1533-position model. The record is from RNAcentral.